GGACGAACGCUGGCGGCGUGCCUAACACAUGCAAGUCGAACGGGGUGAAGAAUUUCGGUUUUUCACCUAGUGGCGAACGGGUGAGUAACGCGUGGGAAACUGCCCAUCACUGGGGAAUAACGUUUGGAAACGAACGCUAAUACCGCAUACGCCGGAAACGGGAAAGAUUUAUCGGUGAUGGAUGUGCCCGCGUUGGAUUAGCUUGUUGGUGGGGUAACGGCCUACCAAGGCGAUGAUCGGUAGCCGAACUGAGAGGUUGAUCGGCCGCAUUGGGACUGAGACACGGCCCAGACUCCUACGGGAGGCAGCAGUGGGGGAUAUUGCACAAUGGGGGAAACCCUGAUGCAGCAACGCCGCGUGAGGGAAGAAGGUCUUCGGAUUGUAAACCUAAGUUGUCAGGGACGAACAGAUGACGGUACCUGAAGAGAAAGCUCCGGCUAACUACGUG
RNAcentral lists this ribosomal RNA (448 nucleotides) under uncultured bacterium. RNAcentral's name for it is "bacterial SSU rRNA". It matches the Rfam family "Bacterial small subunit ribosomal RNA", at positions 27 to 507 of the family's 1533-position model. The record is from RNAcentral.